Molecule: ribosomal RNA, 515 nt
Filed under: uncultured archaeon
Lineage: Archaea
Description: bacterial SSU rRNA
Rfam family: Archaeal small subunit ribosomal RNA
Source: RNAcentral
GUAACACGCCUUCAACCUGCCCUCGGGUCGAGAAUAAUCUCGGGAAACUGAGGCUAAUGAGCGAUAGGUCAAGAUUCCUGGAAUGGGUUUUGGUCUAAACGGCGUGACAGCAUCUUGUCGUGUCCGCCCGAGGAUGGGACUGCGGCCGAUCAGGCUGUUGGUGGGGUAAAGGCCCACCAAACCAGUAACCGGUACGGGCUUUGAGAGAAGGAGCCCGGAGAUGGACACUGAGACAAGGGUCCAGGUCCUACGGGGCGCAGCAGGCGCGAAACCUUCGCAAUGCGCGCAAGCGCGACGAGGUUAUUCCGAGUGAUUUCCGCUGAGGAAAUCUUUUCUUAGAUCUAAAAAGUCUGGGGAAUAAGGGGAGGGCAAGUCUGGUGUCAGCCGCCGCGGUAAUACCAGCUCCUCGAGUGGUCAGGGCGUUUAUUGGGCCUAAAGCAUCCGUAGCCUGCUCGGUAGGUCUCCUGUUAAAUCCAACGGCUCAACCGUUGGUCUGCAGGAGAUACCGCUGGGCU